Molecule: ribosomal RNA, 300 nt
Filed under: Pseudomonas sp. enrichment culture
Lineage: Bacteria; Pseudomonadati; Pseudomonadota; Gammaproteobacteria; Pseudomonadales; Pseudomonadaceae
Description: bacterial SSU rRNA
Rfam family: Bacterial small subunit ribosomal RNA
Source: RNAcentral
UCGUCAGCUUGUGUCGUGAGAUGUUGGGUUAAGUCCCGUAACGAGCGCAACCCUUGUCCUUAGUUACCAGCACCUCGGGUGGGCACUCUAAGGAGACUGCCGGUGACAAACCGGAGGAAGGUGGGGAUGACGUCAAGUCAUCAUGGCCCUUACGGCCAGGGCUACACACGUGCUACAAUGGUCGGUACAAAGGGUUGCCAAGCCGCGAGGUGGAGCUAAUCCCAUAAAACCGAUCGUAGUCCGGAUCGCAGUCUGCAACUCGACUGCGUGAAGUCGGAAUCGCUAGUAAUCGUGAAUCAG